RNAcentral lists this ribosomal RNA (806 nucleotides) under uncultured bacterium. RNAcentral describes it as "bacterial SSU rRNA". It matches the Rfam family "Bacterial small subunit ribosomal RNA", at positions 8 to 812 of the family's 1533-position model. The record is from RNAcentral.
AGAGUUUGAUCCUGGCUCAGGAUGAACUCUGGCGGCGUGCUUAACACAUGCAAGUCGAACGAAGCACUUUAUUUGAUUUCCUUCGGGACUGAUUAUUUUGUGACUGAGUGGCGGACGGGUGAGUAACGCGUGGGUAACCUGCCUUGUACAGGGGGAUAACAGUUGGAAACGGCUGCUAAUACCGCAUAAGCGCACGGCAUCGCAUGAUGCAGUGUGAAAAACUCCGGUGGUAUAAGAUGGACCCGCGUUGGAUUAGCUAGUUGGUGAGGUAACGGCCCACCAAGGCAACGAUCCAUAGCCGACCUGAGAGGGUGACCGGCCACAUUGGGACUGAGACACGGCCCAAACUCCUACGGGAGGCAGCAGUGGGGAAUAUUGCACAAUGGGCGAAAGCCUGAUGCAGCGACGCCGCGUGAGCGAAGAAGUAUUUCGGUAUGUAAAGCUCUAUCAGCAGGGAAGAUAAUGACGGUACCUGACUAAGAAGCACCGGCUAAAUACGUGCCAGCAGCCGCGGUAAUACGUAUGGUGCAAGCGUUAUCCGGAUUUACUGGGUGUAAAGGGAGCGCAGGCGGUGCGGCAAGUCUGAUGUGAAAGCCCGGGGCUCAACCCCGGUACUGCAUUGGAAACUGUCGUACUAGAGUGUCGGAGGGGUAAGCGGAAUUCCUAGUGUAGCGGUGAAAUGCGUAGAUAUUAGGAGGAACACCAGUGGCGAAGGCGGCUUACUGGACGAUAACUGACGCUGAGGCUCGAAAGCGUGGGGAGCAAACAGAAUUAGAUACCCUGGUAGUCCACGCCGUAAACGAUGA